UACGUAGGAUGCAAGCGUUGUCCGGAUUUACUGGGCGUAAAGGGCGCGUAGGCGGCCAGCACAAGUCAGUUGUGAAAUCUCCGGGCUUAACUCGGAAAGGUCAACUGAUACUGUGCGGCUAGAGUGCAGAAGGGGCAACUGGAAUUCUCGGUGUAGCGGUGAAAUGCGUAGAUAUCGAGAGGAACACCUGCGGCGAAGGCGGGUUGCUGGGCUGACACUGACGCUGAUGCGCGAAAGCCAGGGGAGCGAACGGG
This 254-nucleotide ribosomal RNA is filed under the name uncultured bacterium. Its description in RNAcentral is "partial 16S ribosomal RNA". It matches the Rfam family "Bacterial small subunit ribosomal RNA", at positions 524 to 776 of the family's 1533-position model. The record is from RNAcentral.